RNAcentral lists this ribosomal RNA (1620 nucleotides) under metagenome. Its description in RNAcentral is "bacterial LSU rRNA". It matches the Rfam family "Bacterial large subunit ribosomal RNA", at positions 667 to 2194 of the family's 2925-position model. The record is from RNAcentral.
CGGAGCGAAAGCGAGUCUGAAUAGGGCGUUCAGUCGCAUGCCGUAGACCCGAAGCCGAGUGAGCUAUCCAUGGGCAGUGUGAAGCGGAGGUAAGACUCUGUGGAGGCGCGAACCGACUUCAGUUGAAAAUGGAGCGGAUGACCUGUGGAUAGGGGUGAAAGGCCAAUCAAACUCGGUGAUAGCUGGUUCUCCGCGAAAUGCAUUUAGGUGCAGCGUCGUGCGUUCAACGAUAGGGGUAGAGCACUGAAUGGGCUAGGGGUCCUACAAGACUACCGACCCCAAUCAAACUCCGAAUACCAUCGUUCCAGAGCACGGCAGUGAGACCUCGGGGGAUGAGCUUCGAGGUCGAGAGGGAGACAGCCCAGACCGCCAGCUAAGGUCCCAAAAUCUGAACUAAGUGGUAAACGAUGUGAGAUUGCGAAAACAGCCAGGAGGUUGGCUUGGAAGCAGCCAUCCUUUAAAGAGUGCGUAACAGCUCACUGGUCGAGUGAUCUUGCGCGGACAAUGUAACGGGGCUCAAGUUCAGUACCGAAGCUGCGGAUGCGACUCUUUGAGUCGCGUGGUAGCGGAGCGUCGAGCGCGCAGCGAAGCGGCGGGAUAACCCAGCCGUGGAGUGCGUUCGAGUGAGAAUGUUGGCAUGAGUAGCGAAAGAGGGGUGAGAACCCCCUCCGCCGUAUGUCCAAGGGUUCCUGGGCGAGGCAAUCCUCCCAGGGUGAGUCGGGAGCUAAGGCGAGGCCGAAAGGCGUAGUCGAUGCACAACUGGUUGAUAUUCCAGUACCACCAUGUUCGCGACCGUUCCAAUACUUUGUUGCUAAGGGGCUGUGUUGACUUCGGUCAACACGAACCGACCCACAUUGUUGCGGAAAGCUAUAGGGGGACGCAGGAAGGUAGAUGAACCCGGUGAAUGGUAGAACCGGGGUAAGCGUGUAGGAAGAGGACCAGGCAAAUCCGGGCCUCACAUACUCUGAGACGUGAUACCGAGCCGCUUCAGGCGAAGUCAUUAAUCCUAUGCUGCCUAGAAAAGCCCAGUAGCGAGUUGACAUGGUGCCCGUACCCCAAACCAACACAGGUGGACAGGUAGAGCAUACCAAGGCGAGUGGGAUAACUAUGGUUAAGGAACUCGGCAAAUUUCCUCCGUAACUUCGGGAUAAGGAGGACCCCAGUAGCGUGACGAGACUUGCUCUCCGAGCGUGAAGGGGUGGCACAAAAUUGAGGGAAGCGACUGUUUACCAAAAACACAGCAGCGUGCUAAGCCGUAAGGCGCUGUAUACGCUGUGACUCCUGCCCGGUGCUGGAAGGUUACGGGGAUGGGUUAGUCCUUCGGGACGAAGCUCUGAACCUAAGCCCCAGUAAACGGCGGCCGUAACUAUAACGUCCUAAGGUAGCGAAAUUCCUUGUCGGGUAAGUUCCGACCUGCACGAAUGGAGUAACGACUUCCCUACUGUCUCAACCAUAGACCCAGCGAAAUUGAAGUACGAGUAAAGAUGCUCGUUAGCUGCAGAAGGACGGAAAGACCCCGUGGACCUUUACUAUAACUUGAUGUUGUGUUUUGUCAUAUGCUGUGUAGGAUAGGUGGGAGACAAGGAAGCAUGGACGCUAGUCUGUGUGGAGUCAUCGUCG